GACGAACGCUGGCGGCGUGCUUAACACAUGCAAGUCGAGCGGUAAGGCCCUUUCGGGGGUACACGAGCGGCGAACGGGUGAGUAACACGUGGGUGACCUGCCCUCAGCUCUGGGAUAAGCCUGGGAAACUGGGUCUAAUACCGGAUAUGACUCCAUGACGCAUGUUGUGGGGUGGAAAGCCUUGUGCGGCUGAGGAUGGGCCCGCGGCCUAUCAGCUUGUUGGUGGGGNAUGGCCUACCAAGGCGACGACGGGUAGCCGGCCUGAGAGGGCGACCGGCCACACUGGACUGAGACACGGCCCAGACUCCUACGGGAGGCAGCAGUGGGGAAUCUUGCGCAAUGGGCGAAAGCCUGACGCAGCGACGCCGCGUGA
This 373-nucleotide ribosomal RNA is filed under the name uncultured bacterium. RNAcentral's name for it is "bacterial SSU rRNA". It matches the Rfam family "Bacterial small subunit ribosomal RNA", at positions 28 to 404 of the family's 1533-position model. The record is from RNAcentral.